UACGUAGGUGGCGAGCGUUGUCCGGAAUGACUGGGCGUAAAGGGAGCGUAGGUUGCGAUUUAAGUUAGAUGUGAAAGCCCGGGGCUCAACCUCGGAACUGCAUUUAAAACUGGAUUGCUAGAGUACAGGAGGGGUAAGCGGAAUUUCUAGUGUAGCGGUGAAAUGCUUAGAUAUUAGGAAGAACACCAGAGGCGAAGGCGGCUUACUGGACUGCAACUGACGCUGAGGCGCGAAAGCGUGGGGAGCAA
RNAcentral lists this ribosomal RNA (248 nucleotides) under uncultured Eubacteriales bacterium. RNAcentral describes it as "uncultured Clostridiales bacterium partial 16S ribosomal RNA". It matches the Rfam family "Bacterial small subunit ribosomal RNA", at positions 524 to 771 of the family's 1533-position model. Lineage: Bacteria; Bacillati; Bacillota; Clostridia; Eubacteriales. The record is from RNAcentral.